This 614-nucleotide RNase P RNA is filed under the name Plasmodium blacklocki (nom. inval.). RNAcentral describes it as "Plasmodium sp. gorilla clade G3 ribonuclease P". It matches the Rfam family "Plasmodium RNase_P". Lineage: Eukaryota; Apicomplexa; Aconoidasida; Haemosporida; Plasmodiidae. The record is from RNAcentral.
UAUGCAAUGAGUUUAAGCUCAAAACAUCCUGCAAAUAUACAUACACAAAAUGAAAGAAAGAAAGAAAAAAGAAAGAAAAAACAGAAAAAAAGGUCACAUAUUUUUUUAUGUUUCUUGUUUUUCCUUUUUUUUUUUUUUUUUCUUUUUCUUUCUCCUAAUUUGUGUAAUUUUUAUAAAAACAGGAAGGAAGGUCUGAGAUGCUGCAUUUAAAGAAUAGAAAAAAAAGUCAAUGAAUUUUAUUUAAUUUUUUUUUUUUUUUUUUAUUAUUCUUAUGAAUUAAAAAAAAAGAAAAAAAGUUAUAACAUUCGUUGUUACCUUUUAUUUCAUAUAUAUAUAUAUAUAUAUAUAUUCUUUAAUAAAAUUUUUGAGAGAAAAAGUAUUGAAUAAAUAUUAAUUAGUUACCAGAAAUAUCAAUCAUAUAUUUAAAAUUUCGUAAGAAAUUUUGUGUAUGGUUUUGAAAAAGCUAAUAAGCAAGUAUACAUUGGUGAGUUCGAUUUUUGAGGUUUUUCUUUAUUCCUACAUCUCAUAUAUCAAUAUUAUUUUUAUAUUAUUAUACCGAGGUGAUAAUAAGAAAAAUAACUUAAUUCAGACUACUCCUAAAUUCAUUGCUACAA